UUUUUAGAUAACUGGAUUGAUAAACCAGAUGAAGCCAGAGUGGUGAAACUGGAGAGAAAGGGUUUUGGCUGAUGGUGAGGCCGGGUAACAGCUAGGACAGCAGGAAUCAAAAUAAAGCCUGUUGUACCUGAUGCUGGACUACAAGUGCUGCCAGUCACUUCUGCCUAAUUAAUUACUGCUGUACACAUUAUGCUUGACCUCUGACAGAGGAAGAGCGUGUGUUUGCAUCUUAAUUAACAAAAAUGUUGCAUCUGUCACAGUGAGGGGAAAACAACAUCUGAGCUGUGGGCAUGGGGCUUCCCUGCCUCCUGAGCUCCCAGCCAGUCAGACAGUCACCUGCAAUUUGUCUGACAGGAAACUGAAGCUGUGAUGGGAUGUAAUUGAAAAAUACAGUUCCUGUCACUGCCAGGUGAGCAGCAGUCUCCAGGCUGUGCCAAAUCUGGCUUCUUCCCAUCAAGAAAGGUGUCACCGCACCUGUCCCAGUGUAUGUGAUACGGGAAACCUGGGGUCCAUUCCUACUGGAGUGGAGAUCAGCUGUGAGGUUUUUUGACCUCUUGGAUUAGACAGAGCCAUGAAUUGUCAUCUCUGGUUGCGUGACUGGAGUGCUGUGUGAUGGCCAGGUGGUUGAAGUUUUAGAGGUUUUGGAGGGGAAAAAUAGGAUGCCCCCUCCCUGUCCCUACAUAUUCCUUGUACAUCCCUGCUCAGCCCAUCUGUUCAUUGCCUCUGCAGCUGGACACAGAACUGACUGCCUGCACAGCAAGAGCUGCAAAUCAAAAUGAAGAGGAUGAAAAGGGACUUCAAGGAGAAAGUAUUUGAUGUGCAUGGUGAGGAGAUCCCAGAUGUGGAGAAACAGCAAGUGGCUGCAGAGAAGCAGGAGCUGGAAAGGAAAUUCUCCUGUUUGAGUGAGGAGGUACGCCACGGGCUGUGGCAUGGGCUGGUCAAUGGGCUGAAAAAAAGAAC
This 960-nucleotide long non-coding RNA is filed under the name Anser brachyrhynchus (Pink-footed goose). RNAcentral's name for it is "lncRNA (ENSABRG00000021781.1)". Lineage: Eukaryota; Metazoa; Chordata; Aves; Anseriformes; Anatidae. The record is from RNAcentral.